RNAcentral lists this ribosomal RNA (206 nucleotides) under Ctenophora environmental sample. RNAcentral describes it as "partial Bacterial small subunit ribosomal RNA". It matches the Rfam family "Bacterial small subunit ribosomal RNA", at positions 568 to 773 of the family's 1533-position model. The record is from RNAcentral. Lineage: Eukaryota; Metazoa; Ctenophora.
UACGCAGGCGGUUUGUUAAGCGAGAUGUGAAAGCCCCGGGCUCAACCUGGGAACUGCAUUUCGAACUGGCAAACUAGAGUGUGAUAGAGGGUGGUAGAAUUUCAGGUGUAGCGGUGAAAUGCGUAGAGAUCUGAAGGAAUACCGAUGGCGAAGGCAGCCACCUGGGUCAACACUGACGCUCAUGUACGAAAGCGUGGGGAGCAAAC